Uranotaenia lowii is the source of this 3359-nucleotide long non-coding RNA. RefSeq lists it as uncharacterized. The record is from RefSeq and is a predicted model, not a curated record. NCBI's taxonomy places the organism in Eukaryota, Metazoa, Arthropoda, Insecta, Diptera, Culicidae. The transcript is spliced from 3 exons.
CUAAUUGAAUGCCGUAAAGCGAUAGAUUUCCGUUUUUUGUAGUUUGUGUUCUCAGGCGGCUGGAUGAUUCAUCCCGUGAUAGCUUUCCGGAUAACAAUUAAAACUCAAUUAUAAGAAUCGGACUGACCAAAAUCAGAACUCACCGCUGAUCGCAUUUUUCUUUAUUUCCAGUGUGAAAUUCAAACAUUCAUCUCUUUAUUGGAACAGCACCUUCCAAUGUCGUAACCUUCCCAGAGAAGCGGAACAGCAUCAGCUAGGCGUCUUUUCGGAUGAGUCCGGUAAGUAAAAUCUUUUAAGUAUUAAAUUUCUAACUCCGAUGAAUUUACGGAUAUAUUUUCAUAUUCCAAGAAUGAUGAAUCAGAACCGCGAAAGAAAAUUAAAGAAUGCAAAAAAAAAUUAAAUAUCGAUGUCUAAUUGCUUCCAUUUCUUUCAGCUUACUUGGUUUAUUUUGGCCACAGGAAGGAUUUUCCCAACAUGUUUUAUCUUAGGAGAAACCGUGCUAUACCUCGAUUCUUGGUCCGAAGUCCCUUGCUGCUGAUGGAAAAACCGUUCAAAUCAACCAUAAAUGGCAGUAGUACUGGUGGUACUAAAGUAUAAGUAAUAAAAUGUUGCUACAGUGGCGGCCGCCAAAUAUUAGGCAAGUACCUACUAAUUUUUAAAGAACUCUGAAACUUCAAAAUUCAUUUGUUAAAAAUCAAAUUCGCACAGUGACCAAUCGUUAUCAAUUAAAAAUUGAUAUUGGCGACCAUUGGCCGAAUGAAAUUUUUUAUGAAAUUUUUUACAAAAUUAGCUAACAGCCUCCUUUCAUAAUUUUUCACAAUUCAUAAUUAUUGCAUAAAGUCUCAAACCGAUCAAGUCAACAAGAAGUACACUUCGACGGCAGGUUCGUAACUUGUUUUUAUCUAUCAAAGUGAUUUUUUCUAUCGAUGUAGCGUUCGUAAUAAAACAAACUGUAUGCAAACGCAUUGGAAGGUGAUUUGACAUCUACCAAACAAAUCGAUUCAACACCAAAAAAUCAGUUUAAGAACACGCCGCUAGAUUCCUAAACUAACAAACGAAACAGCUAUGUAUUUGGUACGACAGUGAAUAUCUUCUUUCAUAUUUACUCAAUAUUGCUAAAUUUAUUCACGAUUCAUUUUAUUGUGUCGAAUCAUUUCAUGAAAUCUUCCGUGAUAUAACUUUUUAUAAACCAAUCCUGUGUUACGAGCGAUUUCCACACACCACCCACAGUCCUCCCCUUUACAUUUUUGUUUAUUUAUUUACUUUCCACUUUUGCGCGACUGCAGUGUUUUACGGGUGUUGACGGGUAGAAUUUCAUCUCUGGAGUCUUUCUCAGCAUCAGUAUUGUGUAGCGUCUUAGAAAAAGCAAGAAGCAUAAACCUGAGCUUCGGGAACGUAAAAUUUCAAAUAAACCCAAAAAUGCUUCUGGAACUUUCGUCUAGUAGGAAACUGAUUCUCAAGGUGAGCGGAAACAUUUCAGCUUUGGAAAAGGGUAGCGGUUCAUCUGGCUACGUAAUACAUCCGGCUGUGGUAUUUUCUUCGCGAGUGGCUAUUCCGGGGAGCGUAAAAAUACUAGAAGCGCAGAAAAAAGAACACCAAACCGACAUCGGAAAGCCGAUUUCAUGCAGCACAAUUCCGAUACUGUCAGAAAUGGAAACAGUAUAAGAAACCUAUUCAUUUCAUUCAUCCGGCUACACCAGCAAAGCCAGCCAUUCCUUUAACCACAUUCGGAGCAAAGAAGGAAAUCAUGGCAGAAAGAUCGGUUAUCAUCGAUGGACCCCAUCCCGGCUUAGUUCUGCUACAAUUCCACCUUUCAACCGGGUAAUAAUAUGGACAAUAGUGGCUUAAACAGUGUGCAAAGAUAAAAAUGAGAAUUUAUGAAAAUGUGUAUGUAUUUCUUGAAAUCAUUGAUAAUUUUUUUUUUAUAUUUUUACAUUAAAUGUCAUAUUAACACCUUCAUUUCCUCCAUAGAAAGUUUUUCGAUCAAAUGAAUAGUUUUUAAAAUACACACGAUUGUAAUUGCCCGAAUUCUAAAUGACCAUAGCCUUAAUACGUACACUUUUAAUAAUAAAAAAAAAACUGAUCACAAACACAAUAUCAAGUUGUUAUUUACCCUAUUUCAAACCAUUAUUGGUUAUUCUAUUUUUGUAGUUAUUGCUGGAAAACACUUUCCGGUAGUGAGUAACUUUUCUUUUUACGAUAAAUAAAACUAUACUUUUUUAAUAUUUUUCUUUUUUUUUCCUUUCAGCUUAUGAUUCUUACAUCUGAGCAGAAUGUGCAAUUUACUGUUCUAUUGAAAAAGUUGGAUCGAUCACGAAAAGGAAGAAACCGUCUCUGUAUUUAGAUGUUUCGCCAUCAGGUUUUGAAUAUAUUAGCUUGCUAUCCGCGCUCGGUUCCAUUAUUACCCGGCAGUCCGACGUUUCAACUUGGGGAGCAUCACAUUCGGUGACACCUAGAAGGAAAUAAUGGAAUUCUUCAACCAACCAAUGCACCUUUUCUUACUGGCACAGACUGCCGCAAAUCCGGUGCAAGCAAGCCAGUUCGAUAUGGACAAAGAUUUCGCCUUCCUGGAAUUUUGGUUCAUCGUUGGUACGACCCAAGCCAUAGCAUUCGCUCCGAAUUCAUCACAAUUAAGAUAUUCGUCUAGAAGUUGCCAAAGUAUUCAAACAUGGAUCAAUUUAAUAAGCUACAUUUAAGCCAGGCUGAAUACUGUCACAGGCUGCGCCUUUGCGGCAUAUGACCAGUAGUCUAUCACUGAUCAGUCUGUUCCAGGUAACUAGUUAAACAUGUUUAUUUCGCGUUUUCUGUGUUCGGGAUUAGGUUAGGGUUAGGUGUUAGGGGUCAAUGAAGUACCUAGCAGUAUUCUUCAUUUUGGACGUAUAUUUUAAAAUCUUGAUGGGAUAGCCGCUAGCUACAAUUAAAACCAUGAUGCAGCUUGUGCAGCAUCAAUUGCGGUUUUUGCAAUCAACUAGCAUUACGACAAUGUUAUAGGAACACUGUUAAAAUAACGCUACCUUACCCUUUCGAGAUUUUCAUUUCCACAAUCAAUAAAUUUUUCAAUAAAUUCAUCAUGUAUUUCCUUUUCUUCUCUUCUGAAAAUUCUCACGACUGUUAGUGAACUUUUUGUCGAAUAUGGAUAAGCAAAAAACUAAUAUGAGGUUAGCUGAAAAAAUGCAAAAUUUUCGGUAAUUUUUACUGAAACCCGUAAAACGAACGAUUAUUUCAGCUUAUGAUGCAAACCGCAUAACACAAGAUGAUUCGAGUAUCCUGAAGACACUUCAAGCAAGAAAUCUCAAUUCUGAGGAACACAGAUGGACAUAAAUGGUUCAGUCGAAUCGAUGUUUUUGCCUAAAGCAGUG